GCGGAUGUGGCGAAAUGGCAGACGCAGCAGACUCAAAAUCUGCCGAUGGUGACAUCGUGCGGGUUCGACUCCCGCCAUCCGCA
RNAcentral lists this transfer RNA (83 nucleotides) under Eubacterium sp. RNAcentral describes it as "tRNA-Leu". It matches the Rfam family "tRNA". Rfam says of the family: Transfer RNA (tRNA) molecules are approximately 80 nucleotides in length. Their secondary structure includes four short double-helical elements and three loops (D, anti-codon, and T loops). Lineage: Bacteria; Bacillati; Bacillota; Clostridia; Eubacteriales; Eubacteriaceae. The record is from RNAcentral. RNAcentral also lists the same sequence under 1 other name.